This 601-nucleotide ribosomal RNA is filed under the name uncultured bacterium. Its description in RNAcentral is "bacterial SSU rRNA". It matches the Rfam family "Bacterial small subunit ribosomal RNA", at positions 90 to 689 of the family's 1533-position model. The record is from RNAcentral.
GGCGACCGGCAAACGGGUGCGGAACACGUACACAAUCUACCUUUAUCUGGGGUAUAGCCCGAAGAAAUUCGGAUUAAUCCCCCAUAAGAUAUUAGAGUGGCAUCACUUAGAUAUUAAAACUCCGGUGGAUAAAGAUGAGUGUGCGUCCCAUUAGCUAGUUGGUAGGGUAACGGCCUACCAAGGCAACGAUGGGUAGCUGGUGUGAGAGCACGACCAGCCACACGGGCACUGAGACACGGGCCCGACUCCUACGGGAGGCAGCAGUGAGGAAUAUUGGUCAAUGGACGCAAGUCUGAACCAGCCAUGCCGCGUGAAGGAUGAAGGCCUUCUGGGUUGUAAACUUCUUUUAUUGGGGAAGAAAAUUACGGUUUCUGCUGUAACCGACGGUACCCAAGGAAUAAGCACCGGCUAACUCCGUGCCAGCAGCCGCGGUAAUACGGAGGGUGCAAGCGUUAUCCGGAUUCACUGGGUUUAAAGGGUGUGUAGGCGGGCAUUUAAUUCAUUGGUGAAAUCUCCGAGCUCAACUCGGAAACUGCCAUUGAUACUAUUUGUCUUGAAUAUCGUUGAGGUUGGCGGAAUAUAUCAUGUAGCGGUGAAAUGC